Hippopotamus amphibius kiboko is the source of this 4217-nucleotide RNA transcript. It is a transcript of the gene named HPS5 biogenesis of lysosomal organelles complex 2 subunit 2, with no coding region annotated. The transcript is spliced from 25 exons. Lineage: Eukaryota; Metazoa; Chordata; Mammalia; Artiodactyla; Hippopotamidae. The record is from RefSeq and is a predicted model, not a curated record.
GCCGCAGAGAGCGUAAUCGCGACCGCGGCCUGAGGGGGAGGGACCACGCGCAAGCAGGGGCGUAACCUGUCACGUGACGAGGAAGCACUGUUAACAGCUUUGUCCCGGCGUCCCCGGCGCUCCGGAAUGAUGUAAGCCGCGGAGGGGAGGGGCAGGAGAGCAAACUGAAGCUCAGGUGCGUCUCUUAGUGCGCGAGUCUUGCUGAGGACUGUAGCCUGACUGACAGCCACGCAGCCCUGAGGAAACUGUUCUGAGAGGUUUUAUUCAGGAAUACUGUGCCUGUCACUCAACAUAGUUUCAUCUUUCUGGAUAAAUGACUUUUGUGCCAGUGAUACCAGAGUCCUACAGCCAUGUUCUUGCAGAGUUUGAGUCUCUGGAUCCAUUACUUUCAGCCCUGAGGCUGGACUCCACUCGUCUGAAGUGUACGAGCAUAGCUGUGUCUCGAAAAUGGUUGGCUUUGGGCAGUUCGGGAGGAGGACUCAAUCUCAUUCAGAAAGAAGGAUGGAAGCAAAGGCUUUUUCUUUCACACAGGGAAGGUGCAAUUUCUCAGAUUGCCUGUUGUUUACAUGAUGAUGAUUAUGUUGCUGUGGCUACCAGUCAAGGUCUUGUAGUCGUUUGGGAAUUAAAUCAGGAGCGUCGCGGGAAACCGGAACAAAUUUAUGUGUCUUCAGAACACAAAGGCCGAAAAGUUACAGCUCUGUGUUGGGAUACAGCUAUUCUUAGAGUUUUUGUAGGUGACCAUAUGGGGAAAGUUUCUGCCAUCAAAAUCAACACUUCUAAACAAGCAAAGGCAGCUGCUACCUUUGUGAUGUUUCCUGUUCAGACAAUAACAACAGUUGACUCCUGUGUUGUCCAGUUAGAUUAUUUGGAUGGAAGACUACUUAUAUCUUCACUUACUCGAUCCUUCUUGUGUGACACUGAGAGAGAAAAGUUUUGGAAAAUUGGAAACAAGGAAAGAGAUGGAGAAUAUGGAGCUUGUUUCUUCCCUGGAAGAUGUUCUGCCGGCCAGCAGCCCCUGAUAUACUGUGCUCGCCCUGGCUCCAGAAUGUGGGAAGUGAAUUUUGAUGGAGAAGUUAUAAGUACUCAUCAGUUUAAGAAACUCCUCUCGUCACCACCUCUUCCCGUGAUUAAUCUAAGAUCAGAACCUCAGUAUGAUCAUACCAUUGGAUCCUCCCAGUCUUUGUCUUUCCCCAAACUCUUACAUAUUAGUGAGCAUUGUGUGCUGACUUGGACAGAAAGAGGAAUUUAUAUUUUCAUUCCUCAGAAUGUUCAAGUUCUUCUUUGGAGUGAAGUCAAAGAUAUUCAGGAUGUGGCUGUCUGUAAGAAUGAGCUGUUCUGUUUGCACCUAAAUGGGAAGGUCUCACAUCUUUCCCUGUUAUCUGUGGAGCGCUGUGUGGAACGCCUGCUAAGGAGAAACCUGUGGAACCUGGCUGCUCAAACUUGCUGUCUUUUCCAAAAUUCUAUCAUUGCCAGCAGAGGAAGAAAAACUUUGACUGUAGAUAAAUUGGAACAUUUGAAAUCUCAGCUGGACCUAACAACAUAUGGUGAUCUAAUUUCCCAACUGGAAGAAUUGAUCUUAAAAUUUGAACCUUUGGAUUCAGCUUGUAGCAGUAGAAGAAGCUCCAUUUCAUCACACGAAAGUUUCAGCAUCUUGGACUCUGGUAUUUACCGUAUCAUUAAUAGUAGAAGAGGCAGUCAGUCAGAUGAAGACUCUUGUUCCCUUCACAGCCAAACCCUCUCAGAAGAUGAGAGACUUAAAGAAUUCACCUCACAUCAAGAAGAGGACCAACCAGAUCAGUGUUGCAGCUCACACGGAAAUGAAGACAGUGUUUCUCAUGCUUCAGUGACGUCUGAGACAGAUAAGAAUGAAACUUUUCUCCCCUUCGGCAUUGCACUAUCAUUUCGUUCUCCAUCUCCUCUUGUGUCUCUUCAGGCUGUCAAGGAAAGCGUUUCUAGCUUUGUGCGUAAAACUACUGAGAAGAUUGGCACCCUUCAUACAAGCCCUGAUCUGAAAGUGAGACCAGAACCCAAAGGUGAUGAGCAGUCAUGUGAAGAGGAUGUGGGUCCAGUCACUUGCCCAAAGGAGGAAGACACUGAGGGAAAAGAAGAAGUAACUAGUCAACCUCCAGAAGAGGACAAGUUCCAAGAGCUCAAAAUGGCAACAGCAGAAACAAUGAGCAAGCUGCAGGACCCACUGGUUUUGUUUGAACCGAAGUCUCUGGAAAUGGUUUUACAGGAGUGGCUUUCACAGUUAGAAAAAACAUUUGCCAUGAAGGACUUUUCAGGUGUUUCAGAUACUGGCAACUCAUCCGUGGAAUCAAACCAGGAUAUGCUAUUGUUUGAUGAGUCAGAAAAGGGAAUAUUAACUGAAGAAGAUGAAAAAGAAAAAAGGGACUCUUUAGGCAAUGAAGAAACUGUUGAUCAAACAGCAUGUGAAUCUGUGAAUAGUUUGAGGAUGAUGGAUGAUGACCUUUUUCAAAUAUGUUCUCCAUGCAGUAUAGCAGACAGUCUUCAGAAGGACCUGGCUGAAUUGACAACAUUGUGUUUGGAGCUGAAUGUAUUGAAUUCUGAGAUCAAAAGUGCAAGUGGACAAGUGGACCACACUUUGCAACAGUGCUCUCCUGAAAUUCUGGCUUGUCAGUUCCUAAAGAAGUACUUUUUUCUUUUGGACUUGAAAAGGGCAAAGGAGAGCAUCAAGCUGAGUUAUAAUAACAGUCCUUGUGUUUGGGAUACUUUUAUUGAAGGAUUGAAAGAAAUGGCAAGUUCCAAUCCUACAUAUAUAAAGAUGGAAGAAGGAGACCUUCCAACAAGAUUGAAGUUAUUGGAUGACUCGGUCCCUUUUGACAGUCCUUUGUUGAUUGCUUAUGCUACCCGAUUGUAUGAGAAAUUUGGAGAAUCUGCGCUUCGAUCCUUAAUCAGGUUUUACCCAUCCAUUUUGCCUUCAGAUGUCAUGCAACUUUGUCAUCGUCAUCCUGCUCAGUUUUUGGCCUAUUUAGACAGUCUGGUGAAAUCAAGGCCUGAAGAUCAGCGGCCAUCCUUCCUGGAGUCCCUCCUACAACCAGAGUCUUUAAGAUUGGAUUGGCUGCUGUUGGCAGUGUCCCACAAUGCUCCCCCAAACACCAGCACUAUGGACGAUGCAGGAGACCCCAGGCCUCAUUCCCACUUGUUUUCCUGGGGUUACAAUCAGCUAAUCCUUCAUCUAAUUAAACUUCCUGCGGAUUUUACGACAAAAGAGAAAAUGACUGACAUCUGUAGGUCUCAUGGUUUCUGGCCUGGAUAUCUUAUUCUCUGUUUGGAGCUGGGGAGAAGAAGAGAGGCCUUCACCAACAUUGUGUAUCUAAAUGAUAUGAGCCUGAUGGAAGGGGACAAUGGUGCUGAGGGAGAAAGAGGCUACAUCCGUGGCUCCUGCCCUCUGCUUGUGAGUCAGCAGUAUCCAGCCACCACCAUGGCCCCACAGCUUUCCAUGGUUGGAUCCCAGAGACUGUGGAGGAAUGGAAGCUUCUCCUACAUCUGGUACAGAACAAGAGCACAAAGCCAGCCCCCCAGAAGUCACCAAAUGGGAACUUCAGCGAUGGGCCUUCCCCUAUCAAUGUGGAGAAUGUGGCACUCCUGUUAGCGAAGGCCAUGGGCCCAGACCGGGCCUGGUCACUGCUGCAGGAGUGUGGUUUGACUCUUGAGCUGUCAGAGAGGUUUACCAGAACCUGCGAUAUCCUGCGGAUUGCCGAGAAAAGGCAGAGAGCCUUGAUACAAAGCAUGCUUGAAAAAUGUGAUCGGUUUCUCUGGUCUCAGCAGGCCUAGGUGAAGAAGAUUUGGCAGGGUGUCAUGACGUUUUGAGAAAAACUGAAUCGUGCUUCUGAACCUUCUGAAUGCAUUUGUCAUUGAAGGAAAGGCCCCACCCGAGAUCCCUGCCACCUUCCUGGGAGCACCUUUGUCCAUGUCUGUAACCUCUGCAUUUGUGGCUGUAUCUGACCUCAGUGUUUUUCAACCAGAGUUGAAUUCUGAAAGGAAUCAGUCCUUGUUUGCUGAAAUGAAGUACUCUGGAAGGAAUCAGAAUGUGAAUAUCCGCAGCUGUACUGCCCUUGUUCUGAACAACAGAAUUAUUUGUUCCUUGCUGAUGGACUGGGGGAAUUCUUUGCCUAUCAUGACUGCCAUGUAGGGAGCAGGAAUUUCUCAUCCUGGUCACAUGAAGACAUAAAAUAUAAUUGACAGAAAUUGAA